Molecule: ribosomal RNA, 1139 nt
Filed under: Vibrio cholerae
Lineage: Bacteria; Pseudomonadati; Pseudomonadota; Gammaproteobacteria; Vibrionales; Vibrionaceae
Description: partial 23S ribosomal RNA
Rfam family: Bacterial large subunit ribosomal RNA
Source: RNAcentral
GUUGUAUGGUUAAGUGACUAAGCGUACACGGUGGAUGCCUGGGCAGUCAGAGGCGAUGAAGGACGUACUAACUUGCGAUAAGCGCAGAUAAGGCAGUAAGAGCCGUUUGAGUCUGCGAUUUCCGAAUGGGGAAACCCAACUGCAUAAGCAGUUACUGUUAACUGAAUACAUAGGUUAACAGAGCAAACCGGGGGAACUGAAACAUCUAAGUACCCCGAGGAGAAGAAAUCAACCGAGAUUCCGGUAGUAGCGGCGAGCGAACCUGGAUUAGCCCUUAAGCGCUCGGUGAAGUAGGUGAACAAGCUGGAAAGCUUGGCGAUACAGGGUGAUAGCCCCGUAACCGACGCUUCAUCGAGCGUGAAAUCGAGUAGGGCGGGACACGUGAUAUCCUGUCUGAAUAUGGGGGGACCAUCCUCCAAGGCUAAAUACUCCUGACUGACCGAUAGUGAACCAGUACCGUGAGGGAAAGGCGAAAAGAACCCCUGUGAGGGGAGUGAAAUAGAACCUGAAACCGUGUACGUACAAGCAGUAGGAGCACCUUCGUGGUGUGACUGCGUACCUUUUGUAUAAUGGGUCAGCGACUUAUAUUCAGUGGCAAGGUUAACCGUAUAGGGGAGCCGUAGCGAAAGCGAGUCUUAACUGGGCGUUCAGUCUCUGGAUAUAGACCCGAAACCGGGUGAUCUAGCCAUGGGCAGGUUGAAGGUUGAGUAACAUCAACUGGAGGACCGAACCGACUAAUGUUGAAAAAUUAGCGGAUGACUUGUGGCUAGGGGUGAAAGGCCAAUCAAACUCGGAGAUAGCUGGUUCUCCCCGAAAGCUAUUUAGGUAGCGCCUCGGACGAAUACUACUGGGGGUAGAGCACUGUUAAGGCUAGGGGGUCAUCCCGACUUACCAACCCUUUGCAAACUCCGAAUACCAGUAAGUACUAUCCGGGAGACACACGGCGGGUGCUAACGUCCGUCGUGGAGAGGGAAACAACCCAGACCGCCAGCUAAGGUCCCAAAGUAUUGCUAAGUGGGAAACGAUGUGGGAAGGCUCAGACAGCUAGGAUGUUGGCUUAGAAGCAGCCAUCAUUUAAAGAAAGCGUAAUAGCUCACUAGUCGAGUCGGCCUGCGCGGAAGAUGUAACGGGGCUAAGCA